Molecule: ribosomal RNA, 430 nt
Filed under: uncultured bacterium
Lineage: Bacteria
Description: bacterial SSU rRNA
Rfam family: Bacterial small subunit ribosomal RNA
Source: RNAcentral
UGAGGAAUCUUGCGCAAUGGGGGAAACCCUGACGCAGCAACGCCGCGUGAGUGAGGAAGGUUUUCGGAUCGUAAAGCUCUGUCAGGUGGGAAGAAAUGUAUAGAAGUAAAUAGCCUCUAUACUUGACGGUACCACCAGAGGAAGCACCGGCUAACUCCGUGCCAGCAGCCGCGGUAAUACGGGGGGUGCAAGCGUUGUUCGGAAUUAUUGGGCGUAAAGAGCGUGUAGGCGGCUUGAUAAGUCAGAUGUGAAAGCCCUGGGCUUAACCCGGGAAGUGCAUUUGAAACUGUCUUGCUUGAGUAAGGGAGAGGGAAGUGGAAUUCCUGGUGUAGAGGUGAAAUUCGUAGAUAUCAGGAGGAACACCGGUGGCGAAGGCGACUUUCUGGCCCUAUACUGACGCUGAGACGCGAGAGCGUGGGGAGCAAACAGG